This 234-nucleotide ribosomal RNA is filed under the name uncultured bacterium. Its description in RNAcentral is "partial 16S ribosomal RNA". It matches the Rfam family "Bacterial small subunit ribosomal RNA", at positions 118 to 347 of the family's 1533-position model. The record is from RNAcentral.
UGAGGAACUUGUCCCGGUCUCUGGGAUAACAGUUGGAAACGACUGCUAAUACCGGAUGACGUCGGAACUUCGCAUGGAGUACUGACGAAAGGGUUACUGGAUCGGGAGAGCCUCGCGGCCCAUCAGCUUGUUGGUGGGGUAAUGGCCUACCAAGGCAUCGACGGGUAGCUGGUCUGAGAGGAUGAUCAGCCACACUGGGACUGAGACACGGCCCAGACCUCCGUACGGGAGCAG